RNAcentral lists this ribosomal RNA (778 nucleotides) under uncultured Neocallimastigales. RNAcentral describes it as "partial large subunit ribosomal RNA". It matches the Rfam family "Eukaryotic large subunit ribosomal RNA", at positions 24 to 640 of the family's 3401-position model. Lineage: Eukaryota; Fungi; Neocallimastigomycota; Neocallimastigomycetes; Neocallimastigales. The record is from RNAcentral.
UACGACUACAUAUCAGGCAUAUCAAUAAGCGGAGGAAAAGAAACUAACAAGGAUUCCCUUAGUAACGGCGAGUGAAGCGGGAAGAGCUCAAAUUUGAAAUCUUCAAGGUUCUACCUUGACGAAUUGUAGUUUAAAGAAGUGUUUUCUGUUAGUGGAGUAGGCAAAAGUUCUUUGGAAUAGGACAUCAUAGAGGGUGAGAAUCCCGUAUUUGACCGUUACUUUCCAGCUGUGUGAUACACUUUCAAAGAGUCGGAUUGUUUGGGAAUGCAGUCCAAGAUGGGUGGUAAAUUUCAUCUAAAGCUAAAUAUUGGCGAGAGACCGAUAGCGAACAAGUACCGUGAGGGAAAGAUGAAAAGAACUUUGAAAAGAGAGUUAAACAGUACGUGAAAUUGUCAAAAGGGAAGCGUUUGACACCAGUGUUGUUUUUUCCGAAAAUCAAUUAAGAAGGGCUUGAUUUUGUGUUGUAUUGACCUUAUCAGCUUUCUUCACUCUUUUUCGAGUCUUUCUUAAUGCACUUUUCGGUUAACAAGUCAACAUCAAUUUCUUUUGUUGUAAAAGGGUAUUUGGAAGGUGGCUUUCUUUUCGGAGAAAGUGUUUAUAGCCUUAUACCUCUACAAUCGGAGAGAUUGAGGUCUGCAGCGUAGAUCCUUCGGGGCUAGAUACACUUGUGCUAAGUUAUAGCUUUUCAUAGACAACUUGUUGACUAUGUUUAGUCAUGUAGCUUACCCGCUUGUGCUAUUUUACCUACGCUUAGGAUGUUGAUCUACAGAGCGAGAGU